Long non-coding RNA from Solea solea (common sole), 855 nucleotides. RefSeq lists it as uncharacterized. The transcript has 3 exons. The record is from RefSeq and is a predicted model, not a curated record. NCBI's taxonomy places the organism in Eukaryota, Metazoa, Chordata, Actinopteri, Pleuronectiformes, Soleidae.
GCAUUUGCCAUAAAGUGAGAGACACUCAAAGAGAGACAAACACAACAGAAUCACAACCUGUGGAUUACUUGACCACCUUCUACCUUCUAAACAGUGAACUAUGAUGUGACGCUGAAUGUCGUGGACGUGUUUCUGUGCUGUUGCGACGCAGACCAGUGGAGGCCAUUUGACAUCAGAGAGGACAACUGUUGGGACAACUAUGCAGUAGCUCACUGAGACGAUUUAGCAGCCACCUGCGAGUUCUUCCCCAUGUUCAUUCAAACCUAGGGGAAUUUAGGGGAACCUGAAACCUGAGCAGUAUGGAGGUGCUCAGUGGCCCCUGGGCUGAUUUGGCUCUGCUCCUGCGACAGACCGUCACGCAGACAGACGGACAGACAGACACCUUUCUUCCUCUGUGGAUCUUCGGUCUGCUGCUCUUCCUGUCCGUCUGUGUGCUGCUGCUGCAGCUGAUUAUCUACCUCAACUGGAAACUCAGACAGGUUGAAGCUGAAUUGUCGGAGUUUCCGCAGGACCAAAGCGCCCUCUACAGGCGGAUGCACAGAACUCGACACAGGAGGAGGAGGAGUGUUGGGUGACGUUCACACACCUGAGCGAGCAAACCCUUGUUCUAGCAUUGAAACGUGAUAAUAAGCGGUUCCAAGAGGACGAAGGUGACGCCGUUAUAGGUCGUGAUUUGGAGCCACUGUUUGAAACACCCAGAAAAGUUACAAAUGUUACACUGACAUCAUUUAUGACCAUGUUUAGAGAUGAACUCCUUGUUUAAGCUUUAGAAAAUACCUUAUUUUAAAUACUCAACACUUACACAUCAACAUACAAGAGAAACUUUUGCAGAAAUAAACAAGAAAAUGCACAGUC